This 384-nucleotide long non-coding RNA is filed under the name Sorghum bicolor (sorghum). Its description in RNAcentral is "long non-coding RNA (SBIC_LNC010034)". Lineage: Eukaryota; Viridiplantae; Streptophyta; Magnoliopsida; Poales; Poaceae. The record is from RNAcentral.
UUCACAAACAUCGUCACAUAGCCACCUCACCAUAUACCUAGCAAAUACCAACAUAAUAAUUUCUGCUGCAACCACUAGUCACAACCACCAUAAUAGUUCAUUGUCCAUACAAAUCACGUAGUAGAGAGUAGUACUUUGCUAGCACUACAUAGGGUUUCAGUGUAUGGGCUGCCGGUGGACUGGUGGCUGGUGGGGUUCUUUAGUUUUGGGCUGGGUAUUUUUCACCCAUGGGUAAAUGGGUAUGGGGACUACUAGAACGUCCCCAUACCCGCGUACCCAAUGGGUGAAAGGUUUGCUCCGUUUGUGUACCCAUGGGUACUGGUUUCACUCCAUAUUGGUACCCUAAUAGAGUAAAUACCCAUCGGGUCGCGGGUCGCGGGCCCC